UACAGAGGUCACGAACGUUGUCCGGAAUUAUUGGGCGUAAAGGGCGCGUAGGCGGCCGGACAAGUGGAAGGUGAAAUCCCCGAGCUCAACUCGGGAACUGCCCUCCAAACUGUUUGGCUUGAGUCCGGGAGAGGUGAGUGGAAUUCCCAGUGUAGCGGUGAAAUGCGUAGAUAUUGGGAGGAACACCAGUGGCGAAGGCGGCUCACUGGACCGGAACUGACGCUGAGGCGCGAAAGCGUGGGGAGCAAACAGG
Molecule: ribosomal RNA, 253 nt
Filed under: uncultured bacterium
Lineage: Bacteria
Description: partial 16S ribosomal RNA
Rfam family: Bacterial small subunit ribosomal RNA
Source: RNAcentral